This 50-nucleotide small RNA is filed under the name Sinorhizobium meliloti 2011. Its description in RNAcentral is "putative ncRNA". Lineage: Bacteria; Pseudomonadati; Pseudomonadota; Alphaproteobacteria; Hyphomicrobiales; Rhizobiaceae. The record is from RNAcentral.
AUCUCGACCGACAUCUGGGGAAUGAAGGCCUUGAACGCCGGCUGCCAGCC